Molecule: ribosomal RNA, 460 nt
Filed under: uncultured bacterium
Lineage: Bacteria
Description: partial 16S ribosomal RNA
Rfam family: Bacterial small subunit ribosomal RNA
Source: RNAcentral
CCUACGGGUGGCAGCAGUGAGGAAUAUUGGUCAAUGGACGCAAGUCUGAACCAGCCAUGCCGCGUGCAGGAAGACGGCUCUAUGAGUUGUAAACUGCUUUUAUACGAGGGUAAAAGCAGACACGUGUACCUUUCUGCAUGUAUCUUACGAAUAAGGAUCGGCUAACUCCGUGCCAGCAGCCGCGGUAAUACGGAGGAUUCAAGCGUUAUCCGGAUUUAUUGGGUUUAAAGGGUGCGUAGGCGGUCGGUUAAGUUAGAGGUGAAAGUCUGAGGCUCAACCUUGAAAUUGCCAUUGAUACUGGUAGGCUUGAGAGUAGUUGCGGUAGGCGGAAUGUAUGGUGUAGCGGUGAAAUGCUUAGAGAUCACGCAGAACACCGAUUGCGAAGGCAGCUUACUAAGCUGUGACUGACGUUGAGGCACGAAAGUGUGGGGAGCAAACAGGAUUAGAUACCACGGUAGUC